CAAGACCCAAAGAAUGAAAACGCAUCUGUCAGCAGAAACCACAACGGUAAACAACCUACCUAGGGACCCAAUAAGGAGCAGGAGACCCCAGACCUAAAUAUUACUAUUGGUCCAAACUACUGCAUGAAGGGUGGAGAGCUUAGAUUGGAAAGUAUAACUGCCCAGGGAUUUCUUUGUUCGGGGUCCCUCUUCAGAGGCACCCAACUCGAGCUGUAACUACUGCACGCGUUUCAUUACAAUUUAUUUAUUUAAUUUGCCUUGAUUUGACUCCAAACUUUUCAGCAGAAACCUGGGGUCGGACCCUGCUCGAGUUGUAAUUACUGCACGCGCUUCACCAAAAUUUACACCCAGGGUGAAGAGGACCAACAGGACGCUGCUGGAUCCACGGCCCAUACUGUGAGAGAGCAGAACUGUGAGAAGGUGGAAAAUGAAUUAUGCAUCCAGAUACUCGCAAACAAGAUAAUUUCACUAAGAGACCUCAAUAGAUGUCUGGGAUAGUGGGAUCACAAGAUUAUGAGCCUUUCCACACCAUUCACAUAGACUGCCUGGAUCCUUCUGAGGUCAGAACUUGAAAGCCCUGCUACUUAAGGCAAUUACAGAGUAUGGCAAAGGCCAAAAGUGGUAGGAGGGAAUGAAGAUCUGUCUUCCUCCUUGCCUCCCCUCUGUUGCCUUUGCAAUGCCAGAGGGCAGCUUCUCCACCCGCCACCAAGGAGGGCCCCUUGCCCAGGCUUGACACCAAAGCCUCAAGAUCUCAGGAAGGGUUUUUUGAAAUCAAAACUGCAAUAUGCCAGAUUUGACACUACUUCUAUCAAGACAGUCUUCUAAAGUGCCCAAAGAGAGACUACCUGGAAAAAGUUGGUUCGAAUCACUUUUGCAAGUUGUGCAACUGGAAGACUGGUUUAGGCUACAGUCUUGAUCCCACAUCCCACCUGAGUAUGAAACCUUGAAGCCCUGUUUCAUCUUUUGCUUUCUGAAUAUAUAUUUGUAUAGAUGCAUGUAGCUGCACAUAUAGUAUAUUGUAUAGAUGUAAUAGCGGAUGUUAAGGUCAUGCAUGGUACUGGAAUUUUCUCUCGCAACAGUGAAUAGCUAACUGUACUUCAACACUUGCAACAGUGAAUAGCUAGUUGUUCAUAUGAAAUAGAACAGCUUUGACUUGAAAAUGAAUAAACAGCAGCAGGAUGUAAUCUCCUCAGAAAUGGAAGCAACAAUUUGCUGUAUGUUUCCACAAAGGAAUCAGAAUGACCACGAAUUAUACUCAUCCUAGAGCAAAGUGAGGAAAGUCCACUUCUUUGACCUUCUCUUUCCUUAAUAACCUAAACAAAAAUAUAAGAGAGUAAAAUAGAGAAGGCAAAAGUAUUUGUGAAAGCCCUUCAGAAAGGAAGAAAGAGAAAUUCCCAUAUAUUGGUUUCUGAACCAUCGUGUUUUGAAGAGCUUCAGAUAACAUCUCAAUUCUGAGGUGGUGUUUGCCAUUAGUACUGUUGUCAGCCUCCAUGAGAUGAGAAGAUGCUUUUCUAGGGUGGACAGAAGAAAUGCCCUUCCAUUCUUCCAUCAAAUCACUAAGCUGUAACACCUUUUUUUUUCUGCCCUUUUUCAGUCAGAUUGUCUCAUCAGAACUGGCUGAGUUUGAACCUUUUCAUCCUCUUACCUUUUAAAGCUGAAACCUGUGAGAAGUAGCAAUCCUGAAGGAGAGCUUCUUCCAGGUAUAAUUGAUAGGUUCAUAGGAAAUGAGCAAUUGGAGAAAAAAUGUAAAGCAAUAGAGGUACAGACAGGGUAGGUUUCAUCUGUCCUAACUCUGAACUAGUCUCCCAUUGCAGCCAAGGAAGAAUAAGAGGUAUCUCUAGAAAGUGAUUCAUCCUAAAAUGGAUGACUUAGGUCAUAGGGAUUGUCCCCUGCUUGUAUUUCUUUCUCUCCUAUUUUUCUCCUAUAAAGGGAGUCUGUGGUGACUAGUUCCAAAACAACUCAUAUUUAAAUUUUAAGACACCUAGAUACAAACUUAGUUGCCUAAAUUAUCAUGAGCUAGUGCCACCUGAAAUGCCCUAGGUCUUCUCAUUUGAUUUCACCUGUGACUGCAGAAGUGUGAGUACUAAAUCCUAUGUCAUAUCUGCCAACCUUAUGCAGAUGCCCCCCAAACUCUAAAACUUCUCCAAUGGCAACAUAUGUGCACAUACAGGAACCAAAUCGAGUCCCUGAAUUUUGGCAAGACGAGCUGCCUCUCAGUUGGUUACCUAACCUCACCAUUUUGAUACAUAAAAGCACAUAACUUUUGGCAUAUUCAGUGCCUAAGAAAUAUGCUAAUAUUUCUCUGCACACCCUGUCUCUUCCUCUCUUAGUGGGACCCCACAGUUUGCUAACUGGACUGGAGACUUAAAGGAACUUGUUAUCUGAUAUAUAAUUCAUGUAAUGUUAGGGACUUGAUUCUUUUACCUUUAACCCUGAUGGGAUAUCCAAGAGUAUAUGAAAUGGUACUAGACACCUAUUUGUGUGGUGUGGGCAAGUGAAACGCAUCCUAGGCAAAUAAAUUUGGUCAGAAGCAGCCUUAACUCUCCUUUUUACUCUCUGUUGAGCCUGGGGUACCUCACUUGGAUAAAGGCCUUUUCAUUUACAACAUCUGCAAUUACCUAAAUGAACAUCCACCCCUGAGCUCUGUAUCAGGUCUUGGUAAUUGAAAAUAGAUACGCCUACCAGCUGUUUUCCUGCAAACUGACUGAACCUCUAUGUAAACAUUGUGCACACAUAAUGAAUCCAGGAGAAGUCAUUAUCCAUGAAAAUUAUACAAUAUAUCUCAUAUCCAUGACAUAUGAUGCUAAAGGAUGGUAAAUUUAUGUCCACAGAUCAUUAUACAACACCAAAAAUAAAAUAGAAAAAUGAAUAGUUAGCAUUUCCUUUUACCUACCUGCAUGGUAGUUCAUCAAUACAAAUGAUUAGUCAUGAUUCAGAGUUUAAAAAUUAGCAAUAAAAAUGCAUUUAUACAUAUAUGAUUCAUUUUUUCUCUAAAACUGGAAUAGUAUUAGUCAAGAAGAUAAUAUCCUUACUUAAUCCAGCAUAUCUAAAUUGAGAAGAUUACCUGCAUUUGGUUAGAAAUUUGUAAUUCUGAAUGACUAAAUAUGGUCUUAUGCUGAUUUAUUUUAAUCAUAAAAUAACUGGACCAUUUAUAUCUUCAUCUGAAAUGCCCAAACAUAGGUGGGCAUCCUCUGCAGAGGAUUUUUUUCAGCUUUGAGAAGGUAUUCCUUCAGCUUUUAAAGCCGGUCAGGUGUAUAUUUACAAAAUGUUCCUACAGAGACACAUGAAACAUUUCUUCCCUUUUAUGUAUUUUGUAUCAGUGCAAUGAAAAAAGACAGGACCACCUGGAAGAUGUCCAAACACUCGGGUGGUUGUUUCUGACAAGGAAACGAUGCACCUGUGUAGCCGAAAUUGAAGCAGCGUGUCUGGAAGGGAAGUUCUGGUACACAGCACAGAUAAAAGGCGAAGCAGCAAACUGAGCAAACCUGUACCUGCUGAAGGCCAUGCGGCCCCUCGACUUCAGUUCAGUGCCACAAGACUAAGAAAGUAAAGCUAGACAAGAGCAGUUAAUAACCAAACAAGAGUGUGUGGGAUGGAGGGGAAUGGAAACAUUCAAUUAGACGCUGGUUUCAUGUAUUGCCAGUGGGUUAAUGGCUGUGUUUUAGCACAGAAAGCGAGCAGUAUGGUCACUAACGUUACCAUUAAGCUACACUCUGCAUUAUUAAUUUCAGACAUGCCUAAUUGAUUUUACCAGGCUUUCCACUCAGGCUGUAUUUAAAAUAUGAAUUAAAAGGCCCCUAAUUCUAUUCAAAAAGUCCAUCUGUUGCUGACAAACUCUCGCCAGAGGUUGCGUGGCAACCUUUAUUGCUGAGCACAUGCGGUCGGCCUCCCUGGGCUGCCUUUGUCUGGCCUCCGAGAGCGCUGCCCUUGACAGAGGAACAGCAGGAAGCCUCUGCUUUUGGCUAGAGCUUUGCCUGGCAAGUGAAGCACUCAUUACAGAGUGCUGAGGUAGAUAUCUGGCACAGUGAUUUCUUAUAUGUACAUGUUUAAAUGUACUUUUUCACGAAUGUCACAAAUUCCUGGGCCUUUGGGAAAGAUUUCGUCUUUCCCUUGUUGGCUUUUGGCUUUCAGAUGUUACAUCAAGAAAGCAAUUUACUUGAGGCAAGUGGAAGAAAAUCCCCAGUGUUUAAGGCACUACAAAAAGAAAACCCCUGUAUUUUGAAACAAACUUCAUUGUAGUAUUAUAUUCCUAGGCUUUAAUAAUAAAAAUUCAUAGCAAGGUAUUUUUCACUGUCACUUUUGAAAACGCCUAAAUAUCAAUACAAAAGUGGGAGUACACAGAGACUGUGAGUUUAUUUUAAGAAAAUACAUGCAUCCCAACAUGACAAACAAUUUGCACAACUGCGAAAGCUCCUUAGGGACUCAAUUCAGUGAAAGGCGAAGAAAGUUUAGGGUGACAUCCCCCAAGAAACACAAUAGCUUGAUAAAAUGUCACAGCUGAGUGUGUUUUAAUUUUCACUGGUAAGAGCAUAAAUGUCUUAGCAGGCAUUUGUGUAGAAAGUACUAUACCAGAAAUCUCUUGUGCCCACACUGUGUCUUAUGUUGCAGUCCCAAUAGUUUAUAAUACAAACAUAUUUUGUUACUUAUUGGCUUAAGAGAAGAACCAGAGCUUCAGGAAGAAACUCAAUAAAGAGGUGGCACAAUUCAGCGCACAGGAAGUACAGACAUUGUGGUGAAUGAAGUGAAUGAUCACGUAGCUUAAGAUUAGUGCUUAUGGAGGAUUAAAGCAAUGGAUGCAGGAAAGUGAUGGAGUAGCUACUAGAGAAGAGAUGGAUGCUGUAAGAUAUUGAAGACAAGAAGACACAGCAUGAAAUCAAUAUAAUAAACAUGAUAUUCUUUUCCUUGGGCUGAGGAAGAAUUCUCAAAACAAUACUUUCUCUCAUUUUAUAAAUGAAAAAAGUAAAUGCAGUGUAUAAGUUACAUACAGCUUUAUGUUUAUUGACACUACUUCUUGUUCAGUUGAACUGCAUCACAUUUGAUUUGUUUUUAAAAAGCAGCAGUUACAAAAAUUCAUAUAUAUUUGCUUUUCAUUUUCAAUUUUUUACUAUUUUCACUUAUCUUCUUACAUACCUGGAAAAAUAACAUGGCUAUGGUACUGACUCCUAAUCAAAGCAAUUAAUGUUUUUGCUAACCUGCAGUAUAAGUAGCAGCACUUCCUGAGAGCAUGGUAGAGCAGGUAACAAAGAAACGAGCACUUCAGUGACAAAUGGCGACAGAUAUUCCAUUUAGUGUCAGAUGUUGAUUGCCAAAAUAUGAAAUGCUAGAAUACAUAAAUCACUUUACUAGAUCUUCUCAAAUGUGCAGCCAUUAUUGAUCUUUAAAGCUAAAUAGAUUCUUCUACGUUUUUAGUUACCAUCUAUACUGAGUCUUUUGCAGGACAUGGUUUUACAACUACAUUUGAAGACUGCAGUCAAGUUACUGCAUUACCAGCCAUGCCCACCUUGCCCAGGCCAGGAAAAAAAAAGGUCCAAAUGACACUAUAUUAAUCUUUAAAUAUUCAGUUACAAGUCUAAUUUCAAGCUCUGAUUUAAACUAGAACCUACAUGCAAAACUUGGCAUUUAAGUAUCAGCAUCGCAUUUUUUCCCUCAGAAAUGAAAGUCCUGGGAAGUUUUUCAAAGAACAUGGUGAGAUCUGUAAUUAUGGGAUAUAUGCAUAUGGUGCUUGACAUUCCAUGUUUAAAUUAUUGUCUAAAUAAUAUUGAGUCAAAAUUAUUGGGAGCUGAGUACAUAAAAUAAAAGUGAAAUGAAGGGGAGGCUUGUGUGACAGUUUCUUUGAAAACUCUUACCAGUUGGACAAACCUAUCAUCGGUUUCCUUCAAGGAUUUAUUUUAAAACUCAGAAAGUUGUGUGUCAAAAUCUAGAU
This is a long non-coding RNA of Dromaius novaehollandiae (emu), 5923 nucleotides long. RefSeq lists it as uncharacterized. The transcript has 5 exons. NCBI's taxonomy places the organism in Eukaryota, Metazoa, Chordata, Aves, Casuariiformes, Dromaiidae. The record is from RefSeq and is a predicted model, not a curated record.